GUUAGGAAUAUUGGACAAUGGGCGAAAGCCUGAUCCAGCCAUGCCGCGUGAACGAUGAAGGCCUUCGGGUUGUAAAGUUCUUUAGCCGAUGAUUAUAAUGACUGUAGUCGGAAAAUAAGCCCCGGCUAACUUCGUGCCAGCAGCCGCGGUAAUACGAAGGGGGCGAGCGUUAUUCGGAAUCACUGGGCGUAAAGCGUGCGUAGGCGCUUUUGUAAGUUAGGAGUGAAAGCCCAGGGCUCAACCUUGGAAUUGCUCUUAAAACUGCAAGGCUCGAAUCUCGGAGAGGAUAGCGGAAUUUCCAGUGUAGCAGUGAAAUGCGUAGAUAUUGGAAGGAACACCAGUGGCGUAAGCGGCUAUCUGGACGAGUAUUGACGCUGAGGCACGAAAGCGUGGGGAUCAAACAGGAUUAGAUACCCGGGUAGUCC
This 425-nucleotide ribosomal RNA is filed under the name uncultured bacterium. RNAcentral's name for it is "partial 16S ribosomal RNA". It matches the Rfam family "Bacterial small subunit ribosomal RNA", at positions 354 to 796 of the family's 1533-position model. The record is from RNAcentral.